This 329-nucleotide ribosomal RNA is filed under the name uncultured bacterium. Its description in RNAcentral is "bacterial SSU rRNA". It matches the Rfam family "Bacterial small subunit ribosomal RNA", at positions 568 to 898 of the family's 1533-position model. The record is from RNAcentral.
CGAGUAGGCGGUGGAGCAAGUCUGAGGUGGAAUCCUAUGGCUUAACCAUAGAACUGCCUUAGAAACUGUUUCACUUGAGUCAGUGAGGGGAGGGCGGAAUUCCUGGUGUAGCGGUGAAAUGCGUAGAUAUCAGGAGGAAGGCCUGUGGCGAAGGCGGCCCUCUGGCACUGCACUGACGCUGAGGCGCGAAAGCGUGGGGAGCAAACAGGAUUAGAUACCCUGGUAGUCCACGCCCUAAACGGUGGGCAUUAGGUGUAGGGCUCGUAAGGGUUCUGUGCCGAAGGGAACCAUUAAAUGCCCCGCCUGGGGAGUACGGCCGCAAGGUUGAA